GAAUAUUUCGCAAUGGGCGGAAGCCUGACGCAGCGACGCCGCGUGGGGGAUGACGGCCUUCGGGUUGUAAACCUCUUUCGGCCCCGACGAAGCGUGAGUGACGGUAGGGGUAGAAGAAGCACCGGCCAACUACGUGCCAGCAGCCGCGGUAAUACGUAGGGUGCGAGCGUUGUCCGGAAUUAUUGGGCGUAAAGAGCUCGUAGGCGGUCUGUCGCGUCGGUCGUGAAAACUUGGGGCUUAACCCUGAGCUUGCGGUCGAUACGGGCAUGACUGGAGUUCGGCAGGGGAGACUGGAAUUCCUGGUGUAGCGGUGAAAUGCGCAGAUAUCAGGAGGAACACCGGUGGCGAAGGCGGGUCUCUGGGCCGAUACUGACGCUGAGGAGCGAAAGCGUGGGGAGCGAACAGG
RNAcentral lists this ribosomal RNA (406 nucleotides) under uncultured bacterium. RNAcentral's name for it is "bacterial SSU rRNA". It matches the Rfam family "Bacterial small subunit ribosomal RNA", at positions 359 to 776 of the family's 1533-position model. The record is from RNAcentral.